UUAAUAAUUUUAUAAAGCUCAGACAACAUAAUAAAAGAGUUUUGUGGAUUCUCUGGCAGGCACUGACCAGCCUAAGCCAGUGGUCAUUAGACGGGCCUGCCAAAGCAACAAAAGGUGUGUAAACAAAGGGUGGGAGAUAUACCCCAAAGGGGCAUGUUCUCUGUAAUGAUCCUUCCGCAGGUUCACCUACGGAAA
RNAcentral lists this unclassified non-coding RNA (195 nucleotides) under uncultured fungus. Its description in RNAcentral is "sequence contains ITS1". Lineage: Eukaryota; Fungi. The record is from RNAcentral.